Molecule: non-coding RNA, 939 nt
Organism: Myodes glareolus (Bank vole)
Lineage: Eukaryota; Metazoa; Chordata; Mammalia; Rodentia; Cricetidae
Source: RefSeq, a predicted model, not a curated record
UCACAAGAUAGCCUUCAGUAAGAAUAGAGAAGUAGAUUCAGACUCAUAGAACAGACUGUUUACAGCUAGACCUGAACCCAUAAGCUACAGAGAGAAGGAAGACACAGGGAGAGAAACAGAGAAUUCUAAUUCAGGUUUAUUUGUUUAACUGCAAGUCAUUCAUUUCUUCCGAUCAGAUGGGUAUCGAUACUGGUGAAGGAGCACACAUUACGGCGAGCGCCAAGGUUUCAUCACCGAGGUACAGGGUUCCCUGAUCCCUGUGGGGAGGGAUUUGAUGAAGACAUCAGCAAAUAAAGAUUCUUUGAGGUCUUCCUUUCCAAUUUGGAUCCCUGUGGUUUCCUUCAGUUGUCUGUUUCCUCUAGCUAAGACUUCAAGCACUGUAUUGAACAGAACUCACGGAAAGGUGGAGGAAGUGAGCCAACUCCACAGUGUCAUCCUCCAACUUCCUCAUGGACACUCUGAUGACACACAUCCAUAAAUUCACAGCAGCAAUACAUAAUUAAUUUAAGUAAGACGAAGAUGGAGGAGGAGGGAAAACUUGCACGUUGAUUUUCAAGAGUUAAGACAUCCCUGCUACCUCAAGGCAGGCCAAUGCCCACCACCAACAGGAGUUCACUGGGACGAAAGCAGCCAUAAAACUAAGCCAAAAAGGGCACAGGGCUGUGACUGCCUGGAUGCCAGGACCCACAGUGUUUUCUUUCCUAUUUUCCCUCUCAGUGCUGGGGAUGGAAAUCGGGGUGUCGGUCCCUAAGCAAGUGCUCAAGCCCAGCCCUAGGAUCCGAAGCAGUUCUGCUCCUGUAUUACUAAACCAUUCACAGAAGAACACGCUUGUCCUAAAUAGCUGGCUCUCCCUCACUGCAAUGCUCCAGUUUCCAUACCCCCACGGCAUGCCUGCUUUAUCUUUUAUAAACUGGGUUCCAUGCAAGAUUGCAUUUAAAA